Molecule: ribosomal RNA, 468 nt
Filed under: uncultured bacterium
Lineage: Bacteria
Description: partial 16S ribosomal RNA
Rfam family: Bacterial small subunit ribosomal RNA
Source: RNAcentral
GACGAACGCUGGCGGCGUGCUUAACACAUGCAAGUCGAACGGACAGGCCCUGCUUUUGCUGGGUGCUCGAGUGGCGAACGGGUGAGUAACACGUGUGUAACCUGCCCUUGACUUUCGGAUAACUUUAGGAAACUGGGGCUAAUACCCGAUAUGAGCUCUUGCUGCAUGGUGGGGGUUGGUAAGUUUCGGCGGUUGGGGCUAGUCUGGCGGCUUAUCCGCUUGUUUGUGGGGUAGUGGCUUACCAAGGCUUUGACGGGUAGCCGGCCUGGGAGGGUUGCCAGCCACAAUGGGACUGAGAGACGGCGCAGAAGCCUACGGGAGGCAGCAGUGGGGAAUAUUGCACAGUGGGCGGAAGCCUGAGGCAGCAACGCCGCGUGCGGAAUGACGGCUUUCGGGUUGUGAACCGCCGUCGCCUGAGACGAAGCGUGAGUGACGGUAAUGGGUAAAAAAGCACCGGCUAACUACGUG